This is a long non-coding RNA of Salvelinus fontinalis (brook trout), 3782 nucleotides long. RefSeq lists it as uncharacterized. The record is from RefSeq and is a predicted model, not a curated record. The transcript has 2 exons. NCBI's taxonomy places the organism in Eukaryota, Metazoa, Chordata, Actinopteri, Salmoniformes, Salmonidae.
AUAUGACAGCAGCACGUUAGAUUGUGCGUCAAGAAUUCAGCAUAGCAUGUUUGUAUGAAGGUUAGAAAAAUAAAAACAAGUUUGUAUGAACGUAUGGUUAUUAAAUGGGUAAAUAGUUCAAUAGUAAUAUCCUCUAAAACACUCUGGUGACAAACAAACUUUGCCCUGUUUCCAAUUGUCCACAAGGCUGGGAGAACCUAUUCAAGUAGCUAGCUAACAGCCAUGGAGGAGGGUGAAAGGAUAACAGCCCCAACUGUCAAAGUGAGAGAGGAGGCUAUUCUGGAUAGGGCAGGUACUUUUGUGUAGUUCCUGUCCCAAGUAUGGACGGAGAUAAUAGUAACAUACUAUUACAGUGCAGUGUAAUUUGAGUAUAAUGAAGUCUGUGGUGAGGUUUUCUCUUUAGAUAAAGAGAGCUAUGAAAGCCUGUCUACAUAUGAAGAGGUCCCAAUGAAGAGCAGCGGUUCUCAGUCCUGGUCCUGGGAACUCAAAGGGGUGCACAUUUUUGUUUUUGCCUUAGCACUGCAGAGCUGAUUCAAAUGAUCAACUCGUCAUCAAGCUUCAAGUAGUAUUUAUGUAUUCAUUUGUGACUCUAUCCUUGAUAUGAUCCUGUUAUUGUCACAUGCUACACAUGCACAUACAGUUGAAGUAGGAAGUUUACAAACACUUAGGUUAGAGUCAUUAACUCGUUUUUCAACCACUCCACAAAUGUCUUGUUAAUAAACUAUAGUUCUGGCAAGUCGGUUAGGACAUCUACUUUGUGCAUGACAAGUAAUUUUUCCAACAAUUGUUUACAGACAGAUUAUUUCACUUAUAAUUCACUGUAUCACAAUUCCAGUGGGUCAAAAGUUUACAUACACUCAGUUAUGUAAACUGAACUGAAAAAGCAUGUGCGAGCAAGGAGGCUUACAAACCUGACUCAGUUACACCCGCUCUGUCAGGAGGAAUGGGCCAAAAUUCACCCACCUUAUUGUGGGGAGCUUGUGGAAGGCUUCCCGAAACGUUUGACCCAAUUUAAAGGCAAUGCUAUAAAAUACUAAUUGAGUGUCUGUAAACUUAUGACCCACUGGGAAUGUAAUGAAAGAAAUAAAAGCUGAAAGAAAUCAUUCUCUCUACUAUUAUUCUGACAUUUCACAUUCUUAAAAUGAAUUGAUGAUCCUAACUGACCUAAAACUGAAUUUUUACUAGGAUUAAAUGUCAGGAAUUGUGAAAAACUGAGUUUAAAUGUAUUUGGCUAAGGUGUAUGUAAACUUCCGACUUCAACUGUAUGUGUGUUCAUGCAUCUAUCAAUCCAAUGUUAUCAUGAUUUAUUGUAAGGGAUAUUAUACUUUAGUAAUCCACAAUGGUCUGGUGAUGUAAAAGUCUAAUAAUGACAUUAUCUUCCAUUUUCCUAGUUACCUUGUAACUGGAGAUUCCUUCAAAAUGAUUGCCUAGUUACCAUGUAGGAUACUGCACGGUUGGGUGACCAGGGCCAUCUGGGACUACCUCCUGGAGGAAUUCAGGCGUGUGAAGGCUACCUGUGUUCUGCAUAACUUCCUGAGGACGGACACAAGGACAAGGAGGGGAUCUGCAGCUCGCCGCCGUGUGCCAGAGAAGUCUGCUGCUCUGCAGGAUGUUUCAAGGAUGGGGUCCAACAACGCAGCAAGAGAAGCAAUCCGUGUGCGGGAGAUCUUCACCUCCUACUUCUUCGAAGAGGGUGCUGUUCCAUGGCAACACCAUAGACUACACUAUGCACAACCAAAGGCUUUUUUAUGAGUCAUCCACAUUGCAAUAAGAGUAUUAUUCAAUUUACUUAGCUAUGUCAACUGCAGUUAUUCAAUUCACAGUUUCUCUCCCUUUGAUUUCUACUUCUCAGGUGAGGGUGCUGUUUAGGUAAGGGUGUGAUGUCUGUACAAAAACAAAAGACUAUUUUAAGUCACCCAUAUUGAUAAAAUUUAGAACAAUUAGACACCCUAUAACCCACACCUAAACACUCAUGUAUCAAUCUGAUGGAUUGUGUUGUGCAGUAAUCAGGCUCAAGUGUAUAACUGGCUCCUUCCACCUUCAAAGAAUAGGCAAGAGGGCCAACCAUGGAGAAUAGUAAGACACUUCAUUAUUUCUAUAAUUACGCUAUAUUGUUUGUCCUUGUGUCCGUUCAUGUUUUUCAGCAUAAAGUACUCUGAAGCCACUUCGUGUGGACACCAGGUGAGACCACACAGAUUCCUGAUGAACACUCUUUAGCUACCUUAUUUUCUCAAUAACAGUCUCUCUCCUUCAAUCUUUUCAGUCUACUGAGGGGGAAUAGGUUUUGUCGUGCCCCCUUCACGGCUGUCUUGGUCUGCUUGGACAAUGUUUGUUUAUGUGGACACCAAGGAACUUGAAGCUCUCAACCUGCUCCACUACAGCCCUGUCAAUGAGAAUGGGGGUGUGCUCGGUCCUCCUUUUCCUGUAGUCCUCCUUUGUCUUGAUCACGUUGAGGGAGAGGUUGUUGUCCUUCCACCACACGGUCAGGUCUCUGACCUCCUCCCUAUAGACCACAGGUGUCAAACUCAUUCCACGGGGGGCCGAGUGUCUGCGGGUUUUCGCUCCUCCCUUAUACUCGAUUGAUGAAUUAACAUCACUAAUUAGUUAGGAACUCCCCACACCUGGUUGUCUAGGGCUUUAUUGAAAGGAAAAACCAAAAACCUGCAGACACUAGGCCCUCCGUGGAAUGAGUUUGACACCCCUGCUAUAGACUGUCUCAUCGUUGUCGGUGGUCAGGCCUACCACUGUUGUCAUCAGCACACUUAAUGAUGGUGUUGGAGUCAUGCCUGGCCAUGCAGUGAACAGGGAGUACAGGAGGUCUGAGCACGCACCCCCGAGGGGCCCCCUUGUUAAGGAUCAGCAUGGUGGAUGUGUUGUUACCUACCCUUACCAUCCAGUUGCAGAGGGAGAUGUUUAGUCCCAGGGUCCUUAGCUUGGUGAUGAGCUUUGAGGGCACUAUGGUGUUGAACACUGAGCUGUAGUCAAUGAAUAGCAUUCUCACAUAGUUGUUCCUUUUUGUCCAGGUGAGAAAGGGCAGUGUGGAGUGCAAUAGAGAUUGCGUCAUCUGUGGAUCUGUUCAUGCGGUAUGCAAAUUGGAGUAGGUCUAGGGUUUCUGAGAUAAUGGUGUUGAUGUGAGCCAUGACCAGCCUUUCAAAGCAUUUCAUGGCUACAGAUGUGAGUGCUACGGGUCGUUAGUCAUUUAGGCAGGUUAUCUUAGUGUUCUUGGGCACAGGGACUAUGGCGGUCUGCUUGAAACAUGUUGGUAUUACAGACUCGGUCAGGGAGAGGUUGAAAAUGUCAGUGAAGACACUUGCCAGUUGGAAUGCCAGUUGGUCAGCGCAUGCUCGGAGUACAUGUCCUGGUAACCCGUCUCGACCAGCGGCCUUGUGAAUGUUAACCUGUUUAAAAGUCUUACUCACAUUGGCUGCGGAGAGCGUGAUCAGUCUUCCGGAACAGCUGAUGCUCUCAUGCAUGUUUCAGUGUUACUUGCCUCGAAGCGAGCGUAGAAGUUAUUUAGCUCGUCUGGUAACUUCUUUCAAUAAAGUAUUUGUCUCUGCUGGUUAAAAUUAAGUCUCAUUUGAUAUAAUACUACACCUAUCCUGUGUUUAUCAGAUCAAUCCAGAUGAAGGAAAUUAGAUUGUUUUUUAAAUUCUAUUUCUGUAUAUAUUAAUGACAAAUCAGCCUUUAACUAGCUAAAUCCUGUUUCUAGUCUAUUAGUUACAAUGUGUAACCAUUGAUGUCUCAGUAAACUCAACAAAAAAAUAAACGUCCCUUUUUCAGGA